UAUCUACAAAUUAUGCUAAACACUAGCUAAUAAAAUACUUACAAUAACAAAUUUAAGUAACUUAAAAUUAAUUAUAAUUUGAUUUUUCAAUUUUAACAUCGACUACUGAAAUCGAUUGUAAACGUUCCUGUAUCAAAAAAAGUCGGCGGAGGUCGAGAGUUGGUGAUGGCGGCAGCCACUUUCAGAUAUUUGGUGCAGCUACACAGAGACGUUCCCAAAGCGGCGAGAUUUUAUUCGGAGGGCCUUGGCUUCACCAUUGAUGUCUGCACUCUCCGUUGGGCCGAGCUCCAUUCCGGCCCGCUCAAGCUCUCCCUCCUCCAUUCUCCCAGCAACUGUGUUGAACAGAAGGGUUAUUCGUCGCUCCUAUCCUUCACAGUAACAGACAUCAAUAGUACUGUGACGAAGUUGAUGACCUUAGGUGCCGAACUGGAUGGCCCAAUCAAGCAUGAAAUCCAUGGAAAAGUGGCAGCGAUGAAGUGUGCUGAUGGGCAUGUGUUAGGUCUGUACGAGCCUGCUUAGAAGCUCAAAAAAUGAGUAUUGCAACGGUAAUGACAAAUUGAUGGAACAAAAUGUAUCUUUCUGGUGCAUACCCAGUUGUGAUUGCAGUUUGAAGGAAGGUUUUUCAUGAGAUGCUCGAUGGCAUAGAAGUAAGGCUUUCUCCCACUGUCGACGACGCUCCUGAUAUAAUUUUGUAGUGGUAGUGCAAGUUGGCCACCUUUUGGCAUGAGAAUAAAUCUGAUGGUGACCGAUCCUAGCCCGUAAGCAAUGCCAAACAUGUGUAUAUCACCAAUCUUUUCAAGAUCCAUCUAUAUAUCUUGCAGGAUCUCUCUUCCACCAUCUUUCUGCACGUCAUUUCAGCAAAUUUGCAUGCCAACAGGCCGCGUCACUUGCUUUCUUCGCGCAUUAUAGCUUCCGUCUUUGUCUUGUAUCAUUAUUGAGUGCAAAUGGGUCGAGCACAGACGACAAAAACCAGGUACCCAAUUCGUCCUUUUACUCUAGGGCUGCCAAGAUGAGUUAGGAUAAUAUAUUUUGGGAAAUAUAAAGAUAUUCUUGAGUUAGAAAAGUAAUGGAAUGGAAUGGAAAUAAGAGACUUGGUUGACUAUGGCCAAAACCCAAAGCCCAAAGGCAGUGCUCUCUACACAUGGCUGUUGGUAUGUUAAAGUGGCUACUCAUGCUUGUCACUGUGCUGCCACAGAUCUUAUGUGAUAGCUACCAAUAUCACUAGUACAUGUUGUCGGGUUUCUCUUUCCCAUCUUGCUUCAUUCCCGCACGUUUUUAUUUAUCUAUACUUUCAGCGCGAUGCACGUUUGUUGUAGCUAUACUUGCAAAAUAUCAUUUGUGGUCCCUAAACUGUAUCUUUUGUAGCUAUACUUGCAAAAUAUCAUUUGUGGUCCCUAAACUGUAUCUUUUGCUCGUUUCAAGUGCUUUUUUUUACCAUUC
Molecule: RNA transcript, 1440 nt
Organism: Salvia splendens (bonfire salvia)
Lineage: Eukaryota; Viridiplantae; Streptophyta; Magnoliopsida; Lamiales; Lamiaceae
Exons: 4
Source: RefSeq, a predicted model, not a curated record